CUUCUCCACUAAGAGUGUGUGCUUGUUACAUAAAAGCUGAAUUUGAGCAAAGCAGCUUGGGAGAAAGAAAGUGUUCUAUCAGAGAGACUUAGGGGUUAGUGUUGCCAAUUUGACCCAAGCUAGAGUCCUCUGGAAAGAGGGGUCCUCAAUUGAGAAAAUGCUUCCAGGAGAUACAGUUGUAAGGAAUUUUCUUAAUUAGUGAUUGAUAGGGAAGGGCUCAGCCCAUUGUGGAUGGUACUGUCACUGGGCUGGUGGUUCUGGAUUCUAUAAGAAAGAAGUGUACUAAGCCAGAAGGAGCAACCCAGUAAGCAGCAUCCCUCCAUGGCCUCUGUAUCAACCCCGCUGGAGUUGUCCUGGCUUCCUUCAAUGACUGCCUGACCAUAGCUGAGUUGAUGUCUGAUCAUUAUAUUCUGCUGGGGAGAGGGCAUCAGAUACUAUAUAACCUGGCCACCAGCUUAUGCCUGCUUUCUCUCCCUGGACCCCACUUUUCUGUCUCAUCUGCACAGCAUCUCAAUGAAUUAGCCUGAGAGCUGUACCCA
This 539-nucleotide long non-coding RNA is filed under the name Mus caroli (Ryukyu mouse). Its description in RNAcentral is "lncRNA (MGP_CAROLIEiJ_G0002968.1)". Lineage: Eukaryota; Metazoa; Chordata; Mammalia; Rodentia; Muridae. The record is from RNAcentral.